GGACUAAGACCAUGUUUAUCAAAAUUCGGCCUAACGUCCAAAGUGAAUAAUUUUUUGUUAGAAAUAUUCUCUAACAUGUUCUUGUCCUAUAAUGUACUGGUUUUUAUAUGUAGAGUUCGUGAAAGAACACUAUUUUUAGGUUUACAUUACUAGUAUAAAUCCUAUAAUUUGCUCUACUUUUUAAGAUUGCGUCAUACAACGUCGCUAUAUAUUAUUAGAAGUGGUAACGUAUUGUAAAACAUAAUUAUGCAAUGAGCGGUUUAAUAUAUAAUAAGAUCUUGAAAAAGAAAUUUUCUUUCAAAAUACGCAAUAAGGUUAUUUUACUUAUAGCCCGAAUGGCACACCAUAUUUUUCAAUCCUUCAUUCGGCCAUUUUCACACGCCGCGCCGUUAGCCUGUUUGUGCUGUUCGUGGAAGUUGCAGAGGAUGUACUCAUCGCAUUUCAACGAUGAUAUAAUAUGUACAGCAAAAAUUGAUGGCAAGGGUGACAUGAAUCAGAUUGACAAGAAUCCAUAUUCCUACUCCUCAAUAAUGCUAUCAUCACUGCCAUCAGAUUUAUCAAUGAUAGUGGCAUCAGUGACACAUGCGGAUAAGUGUUGGACAUCACUGAAGGAAUAGCUUCCUUGUUGUGCCUGCCAAUAGCAAGGUACCAGAUUAUACAGCAGUUAUGUGGAAACAGAUUCCCACAAUAGGGGGACCAGAUUGACACCUACAUUGUACAGUAUCAGGCAGUUAUAUCAGAACUGGAAAAACUGGAUCCAAACAAGACUAUAUUGCUUGGAAGAAACAUGUCGACUCUGAAGUUUAACCCUUAUUAACCCAUGGCACUUCUAUGUCAUUUGAAAUAUACCUGUGGAGGUUUUUAAAGUGGUUUUUUUUUUUGGGGGGGGUUGGGUUAUUAUUUGGAAGAAUUCAUAUUUGAUGAUUCAAAUGAAAAUCUGCAUGUUGAAUUAUGAAUGUCAUAAUGUACUUUUUGAAUGAUGAAAAGUGUAGAGUCAAAAGUUAUCAAAUUGUCAAAAACACUGGUCAGGUCUGAAUUCAUCAUCUUGGACACCUUGCAUUUGGAAUUAUGAUCUCUAUGAAGAAAUGCUGAAAAUCUUGCAAAAGAGGAAAUGACAAGUUGGGGUCCAAGGCACUUGCAUAUAUGCAUGAGAAGGUGUUCUAUCCAGGCUUGAGGUCAAUUACAUAGCAAUGUAACGCCUUACAUUACCUAGAAAAUUUCACAUUACCAUUACUCCUAUUUUGAAAUAUAAUGUAUUACAUUACUUGAGAGUGAAUUUACAUUACACAUUUACAUAACAUACUGUCAGAUAUUAGAGAAAUGGCAGAAAAAUUAUUUCUGUAUUAUGAUUUUUAAUUAUACAUUAACAUAAGUACACAAAAUAUUCAGCAAUGUUAGGAAACAUAUCUAUUAAGUUAUUCAUUGCAUUUGAUUGUCAUCAAUGUUUCAAAUGCUUCAGUCAAUCACUAAUAAAAUGAAUUAUUCUAAAUCUUCGAAAUAUCAUCAAAUAUUUGAAGUAGUGUAAAUGUAAUGAAAAAUAAUUUUUAGUACAGUAUGCAUUACAUUACCAUUACUUGUAAUGCAAAAAUGGUCCAUUACACCCCCAUUACAUUGAAACUGGUUGUCAUUUAAUUACCAUUACCCCAGGCCUGGUUCUGUUGAGAGGUAUUGAAAUUCUCUGUAGAGACUUUGUCUCAGGAAGUGGCCGAGAUUGGUGGUGACAAUUUUGUUGGAUGUGAAUUUACUGACACACAUGUCUACACUUGCUACACAAUAUAGCAUGUGGUGGUUUCAACAAGAAAGUUCUUACUCUGCAGGAAAUGACGAAUAGCUAAUGGAUUCACAUUUUUUCUGACUUUUCUUCUGUACAUUAGAUGCAUUGGAAAAACUUUCCUUUCCAUUAUCUUUUGCUGGUUCAUUCUUUGAAAUAAAAUCAAGUCCGAAAAUAAA
Ostrea edulis (European flat oyster) is the source of this 1950-nucleotide long non-coding RNA. RefSeq lists it as uncharacterized. The record is from RefSeq and is a predicted model, not a curated record. NCBI's taxonomy places the organism in Eukaryota, Metazoa, Mollusca, Bivalvia, Ostreida, Ostreidae. The transcript has 2 exons.